Molecule: non-coding RNA, 3038 nt
Organism: Zootermopsis nevadensis
Lineage: Eukaryota; Metazoa; Arthropoda; Insecta; Blattodea; Termopsidae
Source: RefSeq, a predicted model, not a curated record
UGAGUGGGUUGCACAUAAUUACAGCUAACAUUUGGAGGGUGUUGCUUUUAAUUAGUUACUAGUGGGAUGCUGAGUGUAUGACUCAUGAGUAAUGUUAUCACUGGAAAACUACCUGUAAGACUCAAGUAAUAUUGUCAAUGGAAAGCUAUCUAUUUUGACUCAUUGAGUAAUAUUGUCAAUGGAAAGCUAUCUAUUAUGACUCAUUGAGUAAUAUUGUCAAUGGAAAGCUGUCAAUAAAAGCAUAUGUAAUGUUAUCAAAAAAAUGCUGUCCAUAACCAAACAGCAGUGCUGAUACAAGUGAAAGCAAAUCCAGAGUUAAUAAAAAUGAAGUGUGAAGCUGAAUUUGCUGUAAACUUAAAGAAUAACACACAGCAAAAGAGAAAAAGCAUUGAGUCCCUGAGCUUGGAAAUGUUCAAGUAAUAAAUUUAAAAGAAACAGAAUACAUUAGUAAGAGUGGACAAGUUAAAGAACAAUAUACACAGUUUUUGGAGUUUGGGGUUCCAUGUAUGCUGUAUAUUUUGAGACCAAAAGGAUUCUGCAGUCAAAGAUGUUCGUGAAAAACUGACCAACUCCUAAAUGAUCAGCAGUUCUGGGUUUCCUCACUCACUCCCUUCAGGAAACUGAUCGCCAGCAAGGAUGUUUAAGUUUACAAAAUCAGUUACUCUCUUAAAACAUAAUUUUAUCAAAUAUUUCAGAGAAUGCUGAUGGUAAUGAAAUUAGUCUAUAAUUAGGUAUGCAAGAUUAUUUUAUAUAGAAUUUAACUUUUGAAUUAGGUUGUUCUGGGAAAGCUCCUACUGCCAUUGAUUCAUUGAAAAGAUAACUCAUAGGAACACUUAUGUAGUCUGCAUAGCUUUAGAGUAAAGUUGUUGAUAUGUCCUCAUACCCACAUUCAUUUUUGUUGUGAGAGAAUUUAUUAUAUUAUUAAUUUUAUUUGCUAUUUUGGGUAUAAGAUUUAUAUUUGGUAAGGUUUUAGGAAUUGCUUCAAUAAUGUGCUUUGCUGUGUUUUCUGUUGUGGUUGUAGUGUUAUUGGUCAUUCUUUCUAUAAUUAUUAAGAAGUAACUUUUGAAAGAAUAUGCCAGGAGUUGACGAUUUUUUGUAUUGAAUUAUCAUUUAUCUUUAUUGAUGGCAUAACUUCUUAUGAAGAAUAUUUCCCAUUUUCUUUUUUCACGGUUUUCCACAUUGCUUAUAUUUUCAUUAUCUGAUUAUAAUAUAUAUAUAUACAUUGUAAUUCAUACAUGUGUUAGUAUUAUGCAAUAUUUUUUGUAGUGAAUUUUCAUUAUUUGGUUAUUACUAGACUGACAAUUUAGGUAAAGAUCUCAUUUGUGUUUGCAAGAUAUUUGAUUCCUUCAUUAUUUUCAAACAUCCUUUUCUCUGUUUUGGCAGGGAAACUCACUCCCACAUUUCUUAAGAAAUUUAAGAAUGUGUUGAAUUUUGAGUCUACAUCAUGGCUGUUCAAUACUAAGUCCAAGUUUUCAACACUCAGGUAUAUAAUAAAUUCUUUAAUAGUGUCAUUAUUUAUGUCUUAUUAGUUUCCUGUAAUUAUGAUAAUUGGAAAUCAGUUCUACAUAAUUAUAGUUGUGUAACACAAUCAUAUAGCUCAUUAUCACUGGUCCACUGGCUCUCCAGGUGGUUUCAAUAAAUUCUUUUGGGCUGAACUCACAGAAAAGAAACAUAUUCUUUCACCCAAAUUCUUUUUCACCCCCUCAAUAAAAGGGAAAAUGGGGUACAUUUCAGAAGGUGUAGAUUUGAACAGUUUGAAUUCUGAGCCAAACAGUUGAAAGUGUUAAGUACUUUAUUCUGUUAUUUUUCUUUGCUUUUUCUAAGUGUGGCUAUCCUGGUUAACAGGUAAUUUUUCCCUCCAAUUCAGUACAUACUACAAAGACAGUGAAAGAAGUUUUGUAUUAUGGUGUGGAAAGUAAAUUUGUGACUUUCAUUAGGGAAGAUUGAAGUUGUAAAGAUCACUGAUUGUUUGAAGUUUGGUUGAUCAAUCAUGAAGAAUGAUGGAAAAACAAUGUAUUUCUCUUACUGCCCCCCUGAUCGUUGAUCUGGCUGUUCAUUCACCAGAGUGUUCUUUAUAAUUAGUUUGGCAAGUCUUAUAUUGUUACUCAUUUUGAGGAAAUCACAUUUUCCUCUUGGGUUAGAGAAGUGAACUUCACAAUACUGCAAUUGGUUUUCAUUGUUCUGACAAAACAAAAUGAAUGUGGAGAACACUGCAGUAGAUGUCCACGGAGCAUUCAUUAAGGUAAAUAUCCUGAUCUUUUCCAGUUUUGCUGAUGUUUCUGCCUGUUGUGGGAUAAUUCAGGUACGUGGUAAACAUUUCGAGUACAAAGCAGAAGUACAGGCUUCCUGUCUCUCAAAAUUGCUUUCCUUUAUAGACUCCUAAAAUUGAAUGUGUGUAUGAAAUUUUUUUUACAUGGAAUUUGCCUGGAGAGACUGAGGUAAACCGUGAUAAACCUCGUUCAGGAUAACCAGUCUCCAGGCUGAGAUAAGAACCUGGGAUCUUCAAAGUAAGAAGCAGGAGUGAUAACCACUCAGUCAAGAUGUUCAGUAGCAUGCAUCAGACACUAUUGAAGGAGUCACUUUUUGAGGCUGAGGUUCAAAUUGUGAAGAAACUGCAAGAAACCAAGGACUUUGUGGACAGCAGAUUUAAAAAGAGCCUCAAAACAGUAGCCAAGUAAAGAAGUGGAGGCUGCAGGCACCAAAAUAAAACUUGUAUAUCAACUCCACUUCAUCUGACAAGGAAGUUGUGAUGACCACCGACGACAAAUCCCGUAUCCCACCAGUCGGAGCCCUGCCACUCUCAUACAGCGCAACAUGUAAACUGCAUGAACUUCACACACAGCAAAAGAGACUGAAUCUGGUGCCCACCCAACCUUCUGUCCGAUGGGUACUGUGGUAAAGUGACCAGGUCCUGAAGCUGACCACUCACUUCCAUGUAGUACCAAAGUAAUUAAUGUGUGAAGCUAUACCAUCACUUCCUCUCACAUCUCCUUGGGACAGUGUUUAAUUACACGCCUGUGUCAGCGUUAUCCAUAUCU